RNAcentral lists this transfer RNA (66 nucleotides) under Eunoe nodosa. RNAcentral's name for it is "tRNA-Asp". Lineage: Eukaryota; Metazoa; Annelida; Polychaeta; Phyllodocida; Polynoidae. The record is from RNAcentral.
GAAAUUCUAGUUAAAACAUAAUAUUAGUUUGUCAAAUUAAAGUUACUCAACUUAGAGUGAAUUUCU